This 1496-nucleotide ribosomal RNA is filed under the name Candidatus Woesebacteria bacterium GW2011_GWA1_39_21b. RNAcentral describes it as "bacterial SSU rRNA". It matches the Rfam family "Bacterial small subunit ribosomal RNA". Lineage: Bacteria; Candidatus Woeseibacteriota. The record is from RNAcentral.
AUCCUGGUCCAGGACGAACGCUAGCGGCGUGCUUUAAGCAUGCAAGUGGAACGGUCCGUCGCAAGACGGAAAGUCGCGAACGGCUGAGUAACACGUAGGAACCUACCCUUUGGUGUGGAAUACCUCCGAGAAAUCGGAGCUAAUACCGCAUGACCCACGUUCAGUUACAUGAACGUGGAAAAGGAUAUAACUAUUCACCGAAGGAGGGGCCUGCGGCCUAUCAGCUAGUUGGUGGGGUAACGGCCUACCAAGGCUACGACGGGUAGGGGACGUGAGAGCGUGAACCCCCAGAAUGGCACUGAGACACGGGCCAUACACCUACGGGUGGCAGCAACUGGGAAUCGUGCGCAAUGGACGAAAGUCUGACGCCGCGACGCCGCGUGAGGGAUGACAGCCUUCGGGUUGUAAACCUCUUUUAUUUAGUCCGAGAGGACUUUUUGAAUAAGCACCGGCUAACUCCGUGCCAGCAGCAGCGGUAAUACGGAGGGUGCAAGCGUUGUCCGAAUUUAUUGGGCGUAAAGAGUUCGUAGGCGCCCCGCCGCAUCUUAUUUCAAAUACCAGAGCUUAACUUUGGAAAGGGAUAAGAGAUGGGCGGGGUUGAAGAGCGUGGGGGCUACUGGAACUUACGGUGUAGGAGUGAAAUCCGUUGAUAUCGUAAGGAACACCGAGGGCGAAGGCAAGUAGCUAGGCGCUAUUUGACGCUGAGGAACGAAAGCUAGGGGAGCGAAAGGGAUUAGAGACCCCUGUAGUCCUAGCCGUAAACGAUGCUCGCUAGGGAUCCGCCCUACAAAGAACAGGUUCUUUACGUGUUUUUUGUAGGGUAGGUCCCGUAAGCUAACGCGUUAAGCGAGCCGCCUGGGGAGUACGAGCGCAAGCUUAAGUACGAGCGCAAGCUUAAAACUCAAAGGAAUUGACGGGGACCCGCACAACCAGUGGAGCAUGUGGUUUAAUUCGAGACGAACCGAAGAACCUUACCUGGACUUGACAUCUUGCCGUUUUAUUCUGAUAGAAAUAUCGGGAGAUCCUUCGAAAGUUGGAUGGUAGGACAGGUGUUGCAUGGCUAUCGUCAGCUCGUGUCGUGGGAUGUUCCCUUCAGUGGGGUAACGAGCGCAACCCUCGCCGUAUGUUAAAUUGUUCAUACGGGACUGGUCGCCUUUGGCGACAGGAAGUGGGGACGACGUUAAGUCAGCAUGGCCCUUAUGUCCAGGGCAACACACAUGCUACAAUGAAGCCGACAAUGGGUUGCCAAGUGGUAACACGGAGCUAAUCCCAUCAAACGGCUUCUCAGUGGGGAUUGGGGGCUGCAACUCGCCCUCAUGAACGCGGAAUUGGUAGUAAUCGCGAAUCAGCUAAGUCGCGGUGAAUACGUUCUCGGGUCUUGUACACACCGCCUAUAGUAAUUAUAUUUAGGAACAACGCGCCUAGCAGUUGUAUCCUCUAGUAGAUUAAAAUUCUACCUCCGAUUUAAUCGGAGUAGCCAAAAAAAUUUGACAGUC